UACAGAGGGUGCAAGCGUUGUUCGGAAUUAUUGGGCGUAAAGCGCGUGUAGGCGGCUUGGCAAGUCGGGUGUGAAAGCCCCGGGCUCAACCUGGGAAGUGCACUCGAAACUGCUUCGCUGGAGUGCCGGAGAGGGAAGCGGAAUUCUCGGUGUAGAGGUGAAAUUCGUAGAUAUCGAGAGGAACACCGGUGGCGAAGGCGGCUUCCUGGACGGUAACUGACGCUGAGACGCGAAAGCGUGGGGAGCAAACAGG
This 253-nucleotide ribosomal RNA is filed under the name uncultured bacterium. RNAcentral describes it as "partial 16S ribosomal RNA". It matches the Rfam family "Bacterial small subunit ribosomal RNA", at positions 524 to 776 of the family's 1533-position model. The record is from RNAcentral.